This 333-nucleotide long non-coding RNA is filed under the name Bos taurus (domestic cattle). RNAcentral's name for it is "long non-coding RNA NONBTAT019701". The record is from RNAcentral. Lineage: Eukaryota; Metazoa; Chordata; Mammalia; Artiodactyla; Bovidae.
UUUGGGAGGGAAACGAAGGGUAAAGGCUUCAGUCAAUUUCUACAAAGUCAAGAUAAGCAUCCUAGAGACAAUUUUGGCUAAUUUUAGAUAGGGAGCUUACUUUCAGGAAAAGUGCAUUCCCUGUUCCAAGGGGGAGAAAUAAAUCAACAAUCCAGAAAGCCUGAAACUUUCUGACCUUCCACACUCUCCAGUAUUACUGAUGGAUAAGUCAAAAACUUCAACUGAGAAUUAUUGGAAAAAUAUAACAGCUUUCAAGUCCAUAUGUAUUUUAAGAUUCAAGAUUAUUUUGCUUCUUUUUAGAAUUGUAAAACUUUAGUUGUUAUUUUUUAGAAG